Ictalurus punctatus (channel catfish) is the source of this 1212-nucleotide long non-coding RNA. Lineage: Eukaryota; Metazoa; Chordata; Actinopteri; Siluriformes; Ictaluridae. The record is from Ensembl.
CCCAAGUGGAUAAAUUAGGGAAAAAAAAAUCUUUGUAGUGCGGACUGAGAAAACGGAGAUAUUCAAAAACCGAUGUAUUUUUAGUAGAGCUGCACCGAUACUAAAUCUCUCAGCCGAUACCGAUAAGCGGUUAUUCAGAGUGAUGUCGGCCGAUACCGAUACUUCUGCCUUUUAUGCCUUCUUAUAAACGAAUAAUAUUUCAUUCCACAAUUCUGAAGGAAAUGCAAAUAAAACCUUUAUUCUCUCCAUUUCCACAAGUUGUUUCACAGUAACUGGUCUCAUAAACACAAAACACAUUACUCCAACAUGAACACAUGAACUCAGUUCUGAAGAUUAAAGUAAGAUUAUUAACUUAUUGAAUGUAAACACUCAUAUAAACACUGACUGAAUUAUUUGUAAAAAAUCUCCUGUUAGUCUCACAUUCACUCUCCAAACACAAGCGUUUCUACUUCAUCACUGACAUCAGACUGGUCAUAUAUAAUAUCAACUUUUUAUAUAUUAACAUUCACUGGAUAUGAAAUAUACUACUCUACUAAUAUAUUGUUCUGUACUAUAUCUCAUUUUUAUGUACUAUAUCUGUACUAUAUCUCAACGGUGUACUGGCCCUUUAAACGGGGUACUGGCCCAACUCGUCUUCAUUUAAAUCGUUCAACGAUGUACUGGCCCUUUAAUUCAGCGUGAGCAGCGCAGCAAAAAAAAAAAAUAAUUGACUCGACACCGAAACUCCCGCUUCACCGCUGCUCACUUUCGGUGUAAAAUUAUUAUCGUUACAGAGAUUACAAACUGCAGUUUUGUCGUCAUUGCACACAAGAGACACCUUCUUUACACCCAGCAUGAAAUCAGUGUCUUUUCCCCGCCCUCUUUGGAUUGACAGGAUAUAAUCGUCCCUGAUUAUAAGACGUUUUUAAAGCGUGAAAAAUUGCCUUUAAAUGGCGCCUGAAAAUUGCACCGAUGCACAACGUCUCGAAUUUUUUGUCAUUUGACACGGUCAUGUGACCCGUUCAACUUGAAACAAACAAGAUGGUGGGCAACGUUGUCCUGCAGUCGUGCCUGCUGUCCCGUUCGAUCGCUUCGUUAACGAUUACCGUCACUUCGUACGGCCUUCGGGUCGCGUUUUUAAAUAAACGCUCGGCGGAAGCGACGCAGGACGAAGCUUCUUACGUUUUUACGCACGCGCAGUGUAGGGAUGGAACUGUUUUUCAGACGUUUCGG